AGUUAGGGGCUCAAAGACGAUCAAAUAUCAUCCUAGUCUCAAUCAUAAAUGAUGUCAACUAGGGAUCAAUCGAUGUUGCUUUUAGGACUCCACUGGCACCUUAUGAGAAAUCAAAGUCUUUUUGGU
Molecule: non-coding RNA, 126 nt
Organism: Glycine max (soybean)
Lineage: Eukaryota; Viridiplantae; Streptophyta; Magnoliopsida; Fabales; Fabaceae
Source: Rfam